Molecule: transfer RNA, 73 nt
Filed under: Canis lupus familiaris (dog)
Lineage: Eukaryota; Metazoa; Chordata; Mammalia; Carnivora; Canidae
Also listed under: 1 other name
Rfam family: tRNA
About the family: Transfer RNA (tRNA) molecules are approximately 80 nucleotides in length. Their secondary structure includes four short double-helical elements and three loops (D, anti-codon, and T loops).
Source: Rfam by way of RNAcentral
GCCUGUCUGGCUCAGUUAGCAGAGCUUGUGACUCUUGAUCUCAGAAUUGUGAGUUUGAACCCCAUGUUGGGUG